RNAcentral lists this ribosomal RNA (239 nucleotides) under Mesorhizobium sp. RNAcentral describes it as "partial 23S ribosomal RNA". It matches the Rfam family "Bacterial large subunit ribosomal RNA", at positions 1669 to 1892 of the family's 2925-position model. The record is from RNAcentral. Lineage: Bacteria; Pseudomonadati; Pseudomonadota; Alphaproteobacteria; Hyphomicrobiales; Phyllobacteriaceae.
GGUAGAGAAUACCAAGGCGCUUGAGAGAACUCGGGUGAAGGAACUAGGCAAAAUGGUGCCGUAACUUCGGGAGAAGGCACGCUGAUAUGUAGGUGAAGCCCCUGCGGGUGGAGCUGAAAUCAGUCGAAGAUACCAGCUGGCUGCAACUGUUUAUUAAAAACACAGCACUGUGCAAACACGAAAGUGGACGUAUACGGUGUGACGCCUGCCCGGUGCCGGAAGGUUAAUUGAUGGGGUUA